Molecule: unclassified non-coding RNA, 327 nt
Filed under: soil metagenome
Description: partial contains 5.8S ribosomal RNA, internal transcribed spacer 2, and large subunit ribosomal RNA
Rfam family: 5.8S ribosomal RNA (bases 1-120)
Source: RNAcentral
GAUGAAGAACGCAGCGAAAUGCGAUAAGUAAUGUGAAUUGCAGAAUUCAGUGAAUCAUCGAAUCUUUGAACGCACAUUGCGCCCCUUGGUAUUCCGGGGGGCAUGCCUGUUCGAGCGUCAUUUCAACCCUCAAGCUUAGCUUGGUAUUGAGUCUAUGUCAGUAAUGGCAGGCUCUAAAAUCAGUGGCGGCGCCGCUGGGUCCUGAACGUAGUAAUAUCUCUCGUUACAGGUUCUCGGUGUGCUUCUGCCAAAACCCAAAUUUUUCUAUGGUUGACCUCGGAUCAGGUAGGGAUACCCGCUGAACUUAAGCAUAUCAUAAGCGGAGGA